UCUUCGACGUCCGAGUUGUAAUUUGUAGAGGAUGCUUCUGAGUAACCACCGACCUAAGUUCCUUGGAACAGGACGUCAUAGAGGGUGAGAAUCCCGUAUGCGGUCGGAAAGGUGCUCUAUACGUAGCUCCUUCGACGAGUCGAGUUGUUUGGGAAUGCAGCUCUAAAUGGGAGGUAAAUUUCUUCUAAAGCUAAAUAUUGGCCAGAGACCGAUAGCGCACAAGUAGAGUGAUCGAAAGAUGAAAAGCACUUUGGAAAGAGAGUUAAAAAGCACGUGAAAUUGUUAAAAGGGAAGGGAUUGCAACCAGACUUGCUCGCGGUGUUCCGCCGGUCUUCUGACCGGUCUACUCGCCGCGUUGCAGGCCAGCAUCGUCUGGUGCCGCUGGAUAAGACUUGAGGAAUGUAGCUCCCUCGGGAGUGUUAUAGCCUCUUGUGAUGCAGCGAGCGCCGGGCGAGGUCCGCGCUUCGGCUAGGAUGCUGGCGUAAUGGUCGUAAUCCGCCCGUCUUGAAACACGGACCAAGGAGUCUAACAUCUAUGCGAGUGUUCGGGUGUCAAACCCCUACGCGUAAUGAAAGUGAACGGAGGUGAGAACCGCAAGGUGCAUCAUCGACCGAUCCUGAUGUCUUCGGAUGGAUUUGAGUAAGAGCAUAGCUG
RNAcentral lists this ribosomal RNA (654 nucleotides) under Cladosporium tenuissimum. Its description in RNAcentral is "partial large subunit ribosomal RNA". It matches the Rfam family "Eukaryotic large subunit ribosomal RNA", at positions 128 to 808 of the family's 3401-position model. Lineage: Eukaryota; Fungi; Ascomycota; Dothideomycetes; Cladosporiales; Cladosporiaceae. The record is from RNAcentral.